Molecule: ribosomal RNA, 738 nt
Filed under: uncultured archaeon
Lineage: Archaea
Description: bacterial SSU rRNA
Rfam family: Archaeal small subunit ribosomal RNA
Source: RNAcentral
UUCCGGUUGAUCCUGCCAGAGGUUACUGCUAUCGGUGUUCGACUAAGCCAUGCAAGUCAUAUGUUCCUCGUGAACAUGGCAUACUGCUCAGUAACACGUGGAUAACCUGCCCUUGGGUCUGGGAUAACCCCGGGAAACUGGGGAUAAUACCGGAUAACGCAUAUGUGCUGGAAUGCUUUAUGCGUAAAACGGAUUCGUCCGCCCAAGGAUGGGUCUGCGGCCUAUCAGGUAGUAGUGGGUGUAAUGUACCUACUAGCCAACAACGGGUACGGGUUGUGAGAGCAAGAGCCCGGAGAUGGAUUCUGAGACAUGAAUCCAGGCCCUACGGGGCGCAGCAGGCGCGAAAACUUUACAAUGCGGGAAACCGUGAUAAGGGAACACCGAGUGCCAGCAUCAUAUGCUGGCUGUCCAGAUGUGUAAACUACAUCUGUUAGCAAGGGCCGGGCAAGACCGGUGCCAGCCGCCGCGGUAACACCGGCGGCCCGAGUGGUGACCGUUAUUAUUGGGUCUAAAGGGUCCGUAGCCGGUUUGGUCAGUCCUCCGGGAAAUCUGAUAGCUUAACUGUUAGGCUUUCGGGGGAUACUGCCAGGCUUGGAACCGGGAGAGGUAAGAGGUACUACAGGGGUAGGAGUGAAAUCUUGUAAUCCCUGUGAGACCACCUGUGGCGAAGGCGUCUUACCAGAACGGGUUCGACGGUGAGGGACGAAAGCUGGGGGCACGAACCGGAUUAGAUACCCG